GUAGGUGAACCUGCGGAAGGAUCAUUAACACGUAUCCAACGUUAAACAACCCUGUGAACUUUCAGCCUGCUCUUGCAUCCCAUGAGGAACAGCAAUCCCGGUAAAUCAUUGCCAAACAGUUUUGAUUCGGGACCUCUGUCCAAAGGAGUGUGCAAUUGAGCGGUAGAGGCAGUGGCAUGGCUUCCCCAAGUAGUCAGUGAAUGACAGUGUCACUGGCUGCGUAAGGAUAACGCCUCACGGUUGCUGGAGG
This 250-nucleotide unclassified non-coding RNA is filed under the name plant metagenome. RNAcentral's name for it is "partial contains small subunit ribosomal RNA, internal transcribed spacer 1, and 5.8S ribosomal RNA". The record is from RNAcentral.